This 352-nucleotide ribosomal RNA is filed under the name uncultured Roseburia sp. Its description in RNAcentral is "bacterial SSU rRNA". It matches the Rfam family "Bacterial small subunit ribosomal RNA", at positions 355 to 724 of the family's 1533-position model. The record is from RNAcentral. Lineage: Bacteria; Bacillati; Bacillota; Clostridia; Lachnospirales; Lachnospiraceae.
UGGGGAAUAUUGCACAAUGGGCGAAAGCCUGAUGCAGCGACGCCGCGUGAGCGAAGAAGUAUUUCGGUAUGUAAAGCUCUAUCAGCAGGGAAGAUAAUGACGGUACCUGACUAAGAAGCACCGGCUAAAUACGUGCCAGCAGCCGCGGUAAUACGUAUGGUGCAAGCGUUAUCCGGAUUUACUGGGUGUAAAGGGAGCGCAGGCGGUACGGCAAGUCUGAUGUGAAAGCCCGGGGCUCAACCCCGGUACUGCAUUGGAAACUGUCGAACUAGAGUGUCGGAGGGGUAAGUGGAAUUCCUAGUGUAGCGGUGAAAUGCGUAGAUAUUAGGAGGAACACCAGUGGCGAAGGCGG